RNAcentral lists this ribosomal RNA (497 nucleotides) under uncultured bacterium. RNAcentral's name for it is "partial 16S ribosomal RNA". It matches the Rfam family "Bacterial small subunit ribosomal RNA", at positions 28 to 507 of the family's 1533-position model. The record is from RNAcentral.
GAUGAACGCUGGCGGCGUGCCUAAUACUUGCAAGUCGAGCGAACGGACGAGAAGCUUGCUUUUCUGAUGUUAGCGGCGGACGGGUGAGUAACACGUGGAUAACCUACCUAUAAGACUGGGAUAACUUCGGGAAACCGGAGCUAAUACCGGAUAAUAUUUUGAACUGCAUGGUUCAAAAGUGAAAGACGGUCUUGCUGUCACUUAUAGAUGGAUCCGCGCUGCAUUAGCUAGUUGGUAAGGUAACGGCUUACCAAGGCAACGAUGCAUAGCCGACCUGAGAGGGUGAUCGGCCACACUGGAACUGAGACACGGUCCAGACUCCUACGGGAGGCAGCAGUAGGGAAUCUUCCGCAAUGGGCGAAAGCCUGACGGAGCAACGCCGCGUGAGUGAUGAAGGUCUUCGGAUCGUAAAACUCUGUUAUUAGGGAAGAACAUAUGUGUAAGUAACUGUGCACAUCUUGACGGUACCUAAUCAGAAAGCCACGGCUAACUACGUG